UAUGAGAAGUUAGCCCGGGCAAAAGAAGGUCCAUCAAAUCAACAUUUGGCUAGUGGAGAAGCCUCUAGCACUGGUGAAGGUGAUUAUGAUAUGUUUGCUGACGAGGAUGAUAACAGUGGAGCAUUGCAAAAUGAUUAUGUGUAUGAUGAAUCUUCUGGGUACUAUUAUAGCAGCAGUUUGGGCUAUUAUUAUGAUCCAAAUACCGGGCUUUAUUGCUCUGCAGCAUCAGGACAAUGGUAC
This is a long non-coding RNA of Vigna angularis (adzuki bean), 240 nucleotides long. RefSeq lists it as uncharacterized. The transcript has 3 exons. NCBI's taxonomy places the organism in Eukaryota, Viridiplantae, Streptophyta, Magnoliopsida, Fabales, Fabaceae. The record is from RefSeq and is a predicted model, not a curated record.